GGUGGGUUGGCUGAGAGGCUGAAAGCAACACACUGCUAAUGUGUUAACCCCCACAAGGGGUUCGCAGGUUCGAAUCCUGCACCCACCG
This 88-nucleotide transfer RNA is filed under the name bacterium. RNAcentral describes it as "tRNA-Ser". It matches the Rfam family "tRNA". From Rfam's summary of the family: Transfer RNA (tRNA) molecules are approximately 80 nucleotides in length. Their secondary structure includes four short double-helical elements and three loops (D, anti-codon, and T loops). Further hydrogen bonds mediate the characteristic L-shaped molecular structure. tRNAs have two regions of fundamental functional importance: the anti-codon, which is responsible for specific mRNA codon recognition, and the 3' end, to which the tRNAs corresponding amino acid is attached (by aminoacyl-tRNA synthetases). tRNAs cope with the degeneracy of the genetic code in two manners: having more than one tRNA (with a specific anti-codon) for a particular amino acid; and 'wobble' base-pairing, i.e. permitting non-standard base-pairing at the 3rd anti-codon position. The record is from RNAcentral.